Molecule: ribosomal RNA, 253 nt
Filed under: uncultured bacterium
Lineage: Bacteria
Description: partial 16S ribosomal RNA
Rfam family: Bacterial small subunit ribosomal RNA
Source: RNAcentral
UACAGAGGUGGCAAGCGUUGUUCGGAAUUACUGGGCGUAAAGGGCGCGUAGGCGGCCUUCUAAGUCAGACGUGAAAUCCCCCGGCUUAACCUGGGAACUGCGUCUGAUACUGGAGGGCUUGAGUGCGGGAGAGGGAUGUGGAAUUCCAGGUGUAGCGGUGAAAUGCGUAGAUAUCUGGAGGAACACCGGUGGCGAAGGCGGGUCUCUGGGCAGUAACUGACGCUGAGGAGCGAAAGCGUGGGGAGCGAACAGG